Pan troglodytes (chimpanzee) is the source of this 1256-nucleotide long non-coding RNA. RefSeq lists it as uncharacterized. The transcript has 2 exons. NCBI's taxonomy places the organism in Eukaryota, Metazoa, Chordata, Mammalia, Primates, Hominidae. The record is from RefSeq and is a predicted model, not a curated record.
GCCUCCUCAUCUAAUUUUAGCCUUCCCAGGCUUGGGAGGGAGGGCCGGGGGUGGAAGGCUGGCUCAGAUGGGUCUGGGGGUGGAGGCAGCCCUCCCGGCCCAGCUGGGGCUAUGGGGCAGGACCUGGAUGGGCAGAGAACGUAGCAGCAGAGGAGUGAGGUUGCUGGCCAGCGGGGCAGUGCCAAGGCCCUGGGGCCCAGCUGAACCGUGUCCCUUCAACCUUUGGAGCUUUCCAGAGGGCAGGGCCAGAGGGAGCAGAGUCACCCGCCAAUGCCCUUCAUACAGGGAUGUCGGGGUGGGCAGGGGGCACAUCCCAGAGUGAGGGGCCGGGCCCACUGACCUCUUCUCUUGGCCUCCGACGUUAUCCCGCCCUUGCCCCCGGCCUGGGCUGGUCACGGGGCCAGUAAUUGAGUAAUCGGUGAGGGUGGGCAGGCAGGCUUGGGGCACUAAUAGUGGCGUGUGCAGGAUCCUAGGGCCGGCAUAGGGCCGAGCCGGGUAAUUAGUUGUUUUUAAAUAAACGUCAGCGGGCAUGCUUUAAUUAAGCCUUCUUCCCAGUGAGAGCCUCGAAGAUGUAAUCACAGAGAGAGAGAGAGAGAGAGAGAGAGAGAGAGAGAGAGAGAGAGCGUGCGAGCGAGACAGAGAGAGAGAGGAGCAUCGGCUCACCAAGAAGGCCUGUCCUGGUCCCAGGGGCCACAGCGGGAUGGCCCCUACCAACCUGGCCCAGCUGACUUGUUGGAGGAGAAACCUGGACACAGACAUGCACAGAAGACCAUGUGACCAUGAAGGCAGAGAUCAGAGUGAUGCUUCUAGAAGCCAGGGAAGAUUGCCAGUUAAUGACCAAAAGAAGCCAGGAGACAGGCCUGCAACGGAUUCUCCCUGAAGGCUCCCAGAAGGAACCAACCCUGACAACACCUUGAUCUUGGACUUCCAACCUCCAGAGCUGGGAGGCGACACAAUUCUGUUGUUGGCUGCAGUGGCUCACGCCUGUAAUCCCAGCACUUUGGGAGGCCAAGGCGGGAGAAUUGCUUGAGCCCAGGAGUUUGAGACCAGCCUGGGCAACACAGUGAGACCCCAGCUCUAUAAACAAAUAUAAAAAAGUAGCUGGGCAUGACGGGAUGCACCUGUAGUCCCAGCUGCUGGGGAGGCUGAGGCUGCAGUGGCCUGUGAUCGCACCAGUACACUUCAGCCUGGGCAACAGAGCAAGGCCUCAUCCCUGAAACAUAAACAAAACAACCAAUAAAGUCUCUGUUGCUAAA